UACGAAGGGGGCUAGCGUUGCUCGGAAUCACUGGGCGUAAAGGGCGCGUAGCCGGCCUUGCCAAGUCGGGGUUGAAAGCCCGUGGCUCAACCACGGAAUGGCUUCGAUACUGGCAGGUCUUGAGACCGGUAAGAGGACAGCGGAAUCUGCGAGUGCUAGAGGUGAAAUUCGUCAGAUAUUCGCAAGAACACCAGUGGCGAAGGCGGCUGUCUGGCUCCGGUUCUGACGCUGAGGCGCGAAAGCGUGGGGA
Molecule: ribosomal RNA, 250 nt
Filed under: uncultured Hyphomicrobiales bacterium
Lineage: Bacteria; Pseudomonadati; Pseudomonadota; Alphaproteobacteria; Hyphomicrobiales
Description: uncultured Rhizobiales bacterium partial 16S ribosomal RNA
Rfam family: Bacterial small subunit ribosomal RNA
Source: RNAcentral